AAUAUUUACAUUACUAUUCAUAACAGUAGCAAAAUUACAGUGAUGAAGUAACAGAAAACAUAAUUUUAUGGUUUGGCUCACAAUAACACGAUGGACUAUGUUCAAGGAUUGCAGCAUUAGGAAGUUGAGAGCCACUGAGUUAGAAUCUCUUGCAAAAGACUGAAGUUCCUAAACCCACAGAGGGAGGCUCAGAGACCACCUAUAACUCCCACUCCAGAAUCCAAUGUACUCUUUUGGAUUCUGCAUGUACCCCUUCCGGUACUCACAUGCACACAUACACACAGAUACACAUAUACUUCAAAAUAAAAUAAAUACAAUGAACUACAACUCAAGCCCUAGGCGUUGAGUCUAACGCGUUGCUGCAUUCAGCUUCUUGUUUUCCGGUGUCUGUGCCUCUCAUGGAUGAAGACUUUAUUUCCAGGGAAUAUUAUGUUCACUGAAAAGAAACGAUAGACAUCUUUCUUGGAAAAAAAAUAAUGAUGUGGUUGUUCUUGCCUGCAAUCCCAGUACUUGGGAAGUGGAAGCAGAAUUGUGACCACAAUAUCAUUCUCUGUUAGACAAUGAGUUCCAGGACAGCCUCGAUUAAAUGACACCCUUCCUCCCAAAAAAGUUUUUUGUUGUUAUUGAUAACAAAACUUAGGAUUCAUUGACUCUUGUAGAUCAUUAUUUUGAAAAAUGCAUAAUAUUUGAGUUUUUUAAAAAACAGCACAUUUAAAACAAAGUAUCCAGAGCCCUAAGGUCAGCGAUAGAGACAUGGAAUACUUGAAAACUUACUUAGAACCUCUAGACAGCCAACUGCCAUUGCCCAAGUGGACAUCUUCGUUUUUGAUGAAUCCCUUUUCAGGUGGAAGAGAGUGUCUAGCAGGUGCAAGGCACUGGUUCAAUUCCAAAUACCUCAGGAGGUCAUUCGGGCUUUGCACACACAGUGCAUCAACAGAUGUACAACAAGCUAACCAGGCAGAUCUUAUAUAGGGUACAGAUGAAGCAGAUCUGAGGACCAUGGGUCAAAGAAGCAAUGCUGAGCUACCUAACCCAUCUGGGGUUCCGAUCCUUGGGCUUCUUGUUGGAGAUCUUCCACUACUCCAGGUUUCUCUCCUUGAAGAACUAGGAAUGUCCACCCCUCAUCCAGCCUGAUGGUCUGUAAAGUCCAUGCUUUGUAUCUGCAUCAGCUGGUACAUCAGGGAUGCUGGCAACACAGUUCAAACAAGUCACUCCUCCAGGAAUCCUCUGUUUAGAACCAUGUGUAUCGGGUCUAAAACUUUAAAACUAUACACACGCUUAAACGAAUGUAUGCAGAUAGAUAGAUAGAUAGAUAGAUAGAUAGAUAGAUAGAUAGAUAGAUAGAUAUCUCCUGUUGUAUUCCAGUGGUGGACUGUAGGAUUUCCAUCACCUUGAAGCUCCAAAUCUAUCCUGCAUCACCUGACACUCAUCAAAGAAGCCCUCUUCCAGCUCUGUGUUGAAGAAGAAUAUUGGUAUGUCUCCAAUAUUCAUGAGCAUCUCUAGUCAGCAAUGACCGAGGUGGAUUUUAAUAAUUAACUCAUUAGACCAAUUUAUUUCUCUAAUUGCUUGUGAAGCUUUGUUAACUAAGAGACAAUAAAACAAUUAAAAUUUGGGAAAAUAUUAAAAAUCUUGGUUGAGCGGCCGUAUUAAGCAUUCACAGAGCAAUGAAAACAGACAGGAGGCCCUAAUUAUUGUGGGAAUGAGUGUUUAAAUGUUUACAAAUUUCACUUUGAUUAAAAUCAUUUUGUUUUUAUAGAUAUGUGCUGCCUGCUGCUUACAGUGGAGCUUGGGUUGCAAGAGUUCUGGGAGCUCUGCUAGGUUCAAAGACCUUUCUUCUUAGCUUUGGGAAGAAAUCUAUUGGGAAAUAUCUAUUAAGAUCUGGGACUUGUCUACAGUAUUACACACAUGUGUUUCUUAAAUAGAGAUGUAACCAUCUUCGCAGUGUUCUAUGGUCUGGAAACCCCUACAACAUAGCAUUCUCUCCAUCCCUCUAAACAUCGUCACUGUCCAAGUUUAUGAUCUCCCCGUGCAAACUAGGGAGAUAUAUACAUAGUUUGUACAGCCUACUGCCAUGCCCAAAUUUCUGGUGACCAACCAUCUCCCAUCCUUCCACUCAUUAUAAUCACAGAGAGGGGACUCUCCAGUUCCCACCAGCAUGUCUCUUAUUAGCAAACCAAACUGAGCACCAGAUCAGAAGUCCCAUCAAAAACCGUGAGCAGCCCUGAGCCAUUGGGAUAUUAGAAGUACUUUUGUGGAGGUACAGAAGGAAAUUACCCGACUUGUAACCCCAAGAGGCUUGUAACCACAAGGCAGCGUCAGCAGACUCUCUUGGGAGCUUCCUAGAUAGGCAGGCCACCACCUACAUUUAGAAUCUGCAGUGCAGUGAGAUGCUCCCAGGUUCGUAGAACAUCUCGGAAGUCGGGAAGCCCUGAGCUCUGUGCAUUCGUAUUCAUUCUCAGGCUGAUUACUUCUGUUUUGUUCUCAUAUAAAGCCAUACUCCUUCCCCAGUUCAGUUUUCAUGGCAGCUCUUCUGUAUUAACUUCAGUGCAUGUCGUUCAUGCCUGUCACCCGAAGCAGUAGCUAUUCUGUGUAUAUUUGCUAUUGCAUCCCUGUGGUCUGAGUUCCCAGCCCUUUCUGAGGUUCAGACUCUUCUGGCUGCAGGAUCUUGAUGGUACUGUCAUAAAAGGACAUGAGGAGUUUGCCAUCGCAGACUCCUCCUGUCACCUGCGGGAUGAGCCCUGCCAUCGUAAGAAAUCACUGCUCCUCCCUGUGCUUUGUUUCUUCAUCAUUGCAGUGGUGUCUCUAGCAUUAAACACAGAUACAUAAGGGAAAAUAUUCCAUGCCUGGCCCAGGACAGAAGGUCCACAGAUGUCUCUUUGCCAUUACAGUUGCCCUACCUCCUAAGCAGGGAUGAGACAUUCCAAGACCCUAAACCUUCUGUUUGAAACUAUUUGUACUGAAUAUAUAUAUAUGCAUGUAAUAAGGUUUAACCCAUAAAAUAGGUGCAGUGAGGUCCAAUAAUUAUAGCUAAUAAAUACCAAAGUAGAACAAUUAUAACUCUGGUGGGCUAGUGCACACUGACAUCUCAGGACUUACGAGGAUGCUGCAGGAGGAACCUGAAUUCCAUACCUCACAACAAGCUCCUAUCUCAAAACCCCAGUCCAACCCAACCAACCCAAACGAAAAUAAAGUAAGAGUCAUUUGAAUACAAGCCUCUCACAAUCGUUCACCUUAUAAACAACAACCACCUCAUGAACAAUAGAGAACAUAAACAAUUUUGUUUAAACAAUAAACAAAACAAAGGGGGUUAACAGACAAGAGGUGUCUACUUAUAGGGGAUACACUGUACAAAAGGAUGAUGUUCGUUCAAGACAGGAUCAACUGGAAUGGGGUACGAUCUCAUCAGAACCGUGCUCAAUUUAAAACUGAUCAAUCGCUCAGUUCUGGGACUUUCCAUGUAAUCAUUUCCGACAGCAUUUGACCUUGAGUAAGUGAAAUGCAGACAGCCAAAACAGACGAGGGGGCAGCUUUGUAGUUUUUAAGUGAAAAGCACCAAUACUUUAUAGAGGGCACGGUGAAACUAGAGGGAAAAAAAAAUCUGUUCCUCUGAUAGCUAGUCAGGCUGUGGCAAGUUCUACAUGAAUUUAAGUAUGUUCUUUUGCCCUAAACUUUCC
RNAcentral lists this long non-coding RNA (3674 nucleotides) under Mus musculus (house mouse). Its description in RNAcentral is "long non-coding RNA chr13:42768642-42772316". Lineage: Eukaryota; Metazoa; Chordata; Mammalia; Rodentia; Muridae. The record is from RNAcentral.